Non-coding RNA from Acanthosepion pharaonis, 114 nucleotides. The record is from the annotation of a GenBank genome assembly. NCBI's taxonomy places the organism in Eukaryota, Metazoa, Mollusca, Cephalopoda, Sepiida, Sepiidae.
UUACGGCCAUAUCACGUUGAAACACAGGUUCUCGAACGAUCACCGAAGUUAAGCAACGUUGAGCCUGGUCAGUACCUAGAUGGGUGAUAGCUUCGGAAUAUCAGUAGCUGUAAG